RNAcentral lists this unclassified non-coding RNA (6854 nucleotides) under Nilaparvata lugens (brown planthopper). Its description in RNAcentral is "protein sidekick, transcript variant X5". The record is from RNAcentral. Lineage: Eukaryota; Metazoa; Arthropoda; Insecta; Hemiptera; Delphacidae.
AGGUAGAGGGGAAUAGUCGUUGAGUAACGGAUCGGCUUCGGCAGAGUUUGGUUGUUCAAAAGUUUUUGUUGUUAGUUACUCGUGAAUAUGUCUACAAAUUGUUUCUUGUGAUCGCGUCCAGUGGAUUUCUAGUUGUCGAAAUGUAUUUUCGUCGGGCUUCCGCCAAUUUAUACGUGUUUAUCAAACAAAGUUUCCGUGAAGCUUUGUCAAGUCUCAGGUAACCCAACUACAGGUGUGUUUUGUUGAAGGCCCAGGUGCUUAUGAUGUGUGCUUUUACAAGUGUUUCAUCGAUCAAGCUUUUGCUUGGUGUGAGUGCAGUAAAUUAUCGUGUUUUAUGAGAUUGUUAUUCAUGAGUUUCUCACAUAGAAACCACUCAAGUUCUUAAAUUUAUCAACUAAGUUCGGUUCUCGAAAAAUCAACGACACCAAGUUCACAAUGGUAACCUGUGCUUGUCGAAAGUUCAAAAGUUCUUCGAAGAGUAGAACCCGUAUGAAAAUCAUGGAUUUAACUGAGAGGAUUUGCAGUUUUAGGACUGGAUAUUUAUUACGGAGAACGAUUUUUCAGCCGAAGCUUCUAUUUCUUUUGUGUCUGUCGUCAGUUGUUCCUUUCACUCGAACAGAAUCGCUGCAAGCGCCUCGCUUCAUCACGCAACCCAGCUCGUCCACGAAUAUUGUCAGCGAAGGACGGACAAAAAUUCUACAGUGCCAAGCCUUAGGUUACCCUCAGCCGCAGUACAGGUGGAUAAAGGACGGCGUGGAGUUGGGUGAUUUUAGUUCCGAACACUUUUAUAAAAUUUUGAACACCAAAAGAGAAGAUGGCGGAAGUUAUCAAUGUAUCGCCAAUAACGAAGUGGGAUCGAUACUUAGCGAAAAAAUUGAUGUUACUGUUGCAUAUAUGGGUGUUUUCGAGGAUCAAACAGAGCAAAGCAUUACAGUGGAAUGGGGGCAGCCGGCAGUUUUGGAGCUUCCACUCAUCCAAAGUCAUCCGGAGCCUCUUGUCUUUUGGCAAGCAGACGACGGCACUUCACUCUACGAUCGAAAGUAUGCUGACACUGCAAAACACCAACUGGUCAUACUGGCCGCUAAUGAGAAUGACCAGAAAGCGUACAGGGCACGAGCAACGAACACACAGCUGGGCAAAGAGGAGAACAGUCCCUACAUUCGACUGGUUGUGAAAGGAUCGGAGACCGGCCAGGAGAUCGCCCCUCAAAUUGUUGUCAAACCUUUCGACAUGAACAUCAUCAAGGGUCAACUUGUCACUGAUUUGCAGUGCAUUGUUAACGCUUGGCCCCUCCACGAGCUGGAAACUCUGUGGCUGAAAGACGGCAUCCCAAUAGAGAACACAGGCGUGAAUCACAACCUGAAAUACCCGUGGAACAGCACUCUGUCCCUGCUCAAUGCCAACCUGACGCAUACGGGCCGUUAUAGGUGUCAGGCCAGGCUGCGGACGGGUGGAUUUCCCACUGUCACCGCAGAUGCCAAUGUCGUUGUGCUUGAGAGUCCCUCGUUUGUGACAAUUCUUCGUCCUGAAACGCUGGUCGAGUAUGGAGCUCUAGUCAAACUGCCUUGUGAAGCUAUAGGCGUGCCCGCUCCUAAUAUAACAUGGCUCAGAAACACCUACGAUGUCACACUAAUGCCGAAUAGCGACAGGUAUCAAAUUGAGGAAGACGGUACUUUGAUCAUAAAAAAGCUGAAAAUGGAUGAUACUGGUAUGUUUCAAUGUGUGGCUACCAAUGAAGCUGGUUCUGACUCAAUAACAACUUGGCUCAAAGUGAAAACAUCUGCACCAAUAAUGGAACUGGCACCUCAGAAUGUGACCAUCCUGGACGGAAAGGACGCCAUCAUGAAUUGCCGCGUAGCUGGUGCUCCAACACCCAACAUCACAUGGAUCUAUGAAGACAAAGACACAGUGGACGUGACGGGCCGCAUCCAGUUGCUGGAAACGGGUGACCUGUUGAUUGCGGCUGUCAGGGAGACGGAUGGCGGCAAGUACGCUUGCGUGCGUGCCAACGAGGCGGGGCGGGUGGAGGGGGCGGGAUACCUGACUGUGUUGGUGAGGACGCAGAUCAUCCAGCCACCCGCCGACACCCGGGUGCUGCUGGGUAACACUGCCACUCUACAGUGCAAGGUGUCCAGUGACCCCACUGUGCCCUAUCAGGUCGACUGGUUCCACAAUACGCAACCUCUGGGCUUCGGCGGCCAACGAGUCAGCGUGAAGGGCGACGGUACGCUGGUGAUACAAGCUGUGCGUGCCGCGGAUGUGGGCGACUACGCAUGCGUGCUGACAUCGCCGGGCGGAAACGAGACGCGCACGGCCAAGCUGAGCGUGAUCGAACUACCAUUCGCGCCGACUGCGGUUCGAGCCGCGCGACUCGACGAAUCUAGUCGCGAGAUCAACCUGACCUGGGCGCCUGCGUUCGACGGAAACAGCGCCAUCUUGAAAUACAUUGUGCAGAGGCGGGAGGUGUCUGAUUUGGAGUUUACAGGGCCAAUCCCCGAUCAGCUGUCCAACUGGGUGACGGAGCUGAGCGACGUGGCGGCCGAAGCGAGGUCUAUCGUUCUCAGCAGCCUCAAGGCGGCGUCGGCCUAUCAGUUCCGUGUCAGUGCCGUCAACAGUGUCGGCGAAGGCACGCCUUCCGACCCCAGCAAUGUCAUACAACUGCCGCAGGAACCUCCAUCGGGCCCUCCAAUCGGUUUCGCUGGCUCCGCAAGAUCGUCGUCAGAAAUCAUCACUCAAUGGCAACCUCCCUUGGAAGAGCAUAGGAAUGGCCAGAUACUUGGCUACGUCAUACGUUAUCGGCUCUUUGGCUACAAUGACAGUCCUUGGACCACACAGAAAAUUGCUAACGAAGCACAGAAGAACUAUCUUAUCCAAGAGCUUAUUACCUGGAAGGACUAUGUACUACAGAUUGCCGCAUUCAAUAAAGAGGGUGUUGGAGUCUUCAGUGAUGGAAUAAAGAUAAAAACUAAGGAAGGAGUGCCAGAAGCAGCUCCUACUGGUGUGAGAGCAAUAUCAGUCAACUCGACUGCAGUGCAAGUUUGGUGGAAGCCUCCUCAUCCUCAGAAAAUAAACGGAAUCAACCAGGGAUACAAGCUGCAGGCUUAUAAAGGUAACAAAGUGGCCCGCCUGAUGACAGUGCCACCCAGCCUGUUCGACCCGCUGGCUCAGCAGAGCGCCUACAUGACCAAACUGGACAAGUUCACCGAGUACAACAUUACCGUGCUCUGCUUUACGGACCCGGGAGACGGCCUCCAGAGUGACAUGGUGUCCGUCCGCACCGAAGAGGACGUCCCAGACCAGGUGGCCAGUCUGCAGUUCGACGAAAUCUCCGACCGCGCCGUCAAAGUGGUCUGGACGCCACCCUUGCAAACCAACGGGGUUCUGUUAGGUUACACGUUGAUCUACAUGAUCAAAGACAAAACGGACACUAUCAAAUCGGAGAAUCUUACUGCUGAAACGUUAUCCUUGAAGGUGAACAACCUACAAGCUACGACUCAUUACAGGUUUGAAGUUAGCGCGUGGACUAGAAUCGGUACGGGUCCUUCACGUAUCGCGAUCAUUCAAUCGGGGGUUGAACCUGUGUUGCCACUUCCCCCCACAAAGCUAGCAGUGACUAACAUUGAGGCGUUCUCAGUUGUUUUACAGUUCACACCGGGUUUCGACGGGAAUUCGUCGAUAUCGAAGUGGACCGUUGAAGCGCAAACUAAACGAAACUCGACGUGGUUCACGAUUUUUGAAGAGUCAAACCCUGAAGCGACCACGUUAACUGUUGUGGGUUUAGUGCCGUUUACAAUGUACAGGUUACGGUUGGUGGCUUGUAAUGUGGUGGGACCCUCGCAACCUUCCGACCCCACCAAGGAGUUCCAAACUAUACAGGCGCCACCUUCACACCCUCCUCGUAAUGUAACUGUGCGCGCCAUGAGUGCUAAUGAGUUGAGAGUUAGGUGGAUUCCGUUACAAGCUUCAGACUGGUUCGGCAACCCUAGAGGCUACAAUAUCUCCUGUAAGGAAGUCAACGGUCGUGCGCAUAGUGUUACAAUCGAAGACUCCACGGCUAACUCCCACAUUCUCGAUAACUUAGAAGAGUUCGCCCAGUAUGAGAUAACUGUAACCGCUUUCAACGAUGUGGGAAGCUCUAGGCCGAGUCCGGUAGCUAUUGAAAGAACCAGGGAGUCUGUUCCGAGUUUUGGACCGAUGAACGUGGAAGCUAACGCGACCUCCUCCACUACGAUUCUAGUGAAAUGGGGAGACGUCCCUCAGGAACACCGUAACGGACAGAUUGAGGGGUUCAAAGUGUUCUACGGAAUGGGACCCCGCUCACCCCAUCCUGUGCAGGUCAAGGAUAUCCCAUCAAACACCACAUUCACAACUACGUUGACAGAGCUACGUAAAUAUGUAGUGUACAGUAUUCAAGUACUGGCCUACACAAGGCUGGGAGACGGUGCCCUAAGUUCACCACCAAUCAGAGUGCAGACUUUCGAAGAUGUUCCGGGGCCUCCGAGUAACGUAUCAUUUCCGGACGUAUCGUCGACGACAGCGCGUAUCAUCUGGGAUGUGCCCGACGAGCCUAAUGGUGAGAUUCUGGCCUACAGAGUCACCUACAGGCUGCAUGCGGUUGGCAGUAUGAACUUUUCAAGGGAAUUCCCUCCGUCAUCGAGAACUUAUAGAGCAAUGGACUUGGAAUCGGAGCAGUACUACCUGUUCUCGGUGACGGCGCAGGCGCGACUCGGCUGGGGCAAGACGGCCACCGCACUGGUCUACACCACCAACAACAGGGACACCCCCCAGCCGCCCUCUGUGCCCCAGCUGUCGCGCAGUCAGGUGCAGGCGCAUCACAUCACCUUCAGCUGGACCCCCGGCAGUGACGGAUAUGCUCCUCUCAGGUAUUACCAAGUGCAAUUAGCAGAAGGCCUAGGCCCGUGGCAGGCGAUCAGUGAGCGUGUGGACCCGCAGGUGACCUCCUACACAGCAACCGGCCUCAAGCCGUUCACCAGCUAUCGCUUCCGCAUCCAGGCCGUCAACGACAUUGGCCCUUCAGGCUGGAGCACUGAGUCGCCCAACGUCAGGACUCUGCCCGCUGCUCCUAGCAAACCUGUGUCUGGAGUCAAGGUUGUUCCGAUCACAACGACGAGCGUGCAAGUGUCGUGGGAACCGAUUGAGACGGAGUACUGGAGUGGUGACAAAUCCACUGGAGGCUAUCGCAUUGUUUUCCAGCCGGUUUCCGAUUUCCCAAUUUCUCUGCAAGCCACGCCUAAGCAAGAUGUUCAGGGCACUAAGACCAAUCAAGUGGUGCUGAACGACCUAACACGUGACCGUAACUACGAGAUAGUGGUGGUGCCGUUCAACUCUCAGGGCAGCGGCCCGACUAGUCGUCCGGUGGCCGUCUACGUGGGGGAGGCCGUGCCGACGGGGGAGCCACGUCACGUGCAGGGGGAACCCGUGUCCCCCACUGAGGUGCGUCUGCGCUGGGAGCCCCCCCAGCAGCAGCAGCAGAACGGUGAUUUACUCGGCUAUAAAAUCUUCUACCUAGCGACGGACCUCCCACAACAACUGGGCCCCGACGAGAAGGUAGAGGAGGAGCUGGAAGUAGUGCCGGCCACUUCGAGCUCUCACUCGCUGGUGUUCCUGGACAAGUACACGGGCUACCGCAUCCAGAUGCUGGCCUUCAACCCGGCCGGCGACGGGCCGCGGUCGGAGCCGAUCACGGUGAAGACAUUGCAGGGUCUGCCCGGGCCGCCGGUCGAGCUGCGGUUCACUGACAUCACCAUGACCAGUCUGCUUGUCAGCUGGGAUCCGCCCAAGAAGCGCAACGGAGAGCUGGUCGGAUAUAUCGUCACUUAUGAGACCGCUGAGCAGGAUGAGAAAUUUAGCAAACAAGUGAAACAGAAGGUGUCUGAAACGAGCCUGCUGAUCCAGACGCUGGAAGAGGAGGUGACAUACACAUUCACAGUGCGCGCGCAGACAGUGGACAGUGGCCCUCCGGUGAGAGGCAACGUGACGACGGGGCCGCAGGAGGGGUCACCCGCCACGCCCAAGGAGUUGGUGGUCGGCAAAACGGUGUCCAGUGUCGACCUGCACUGGCUCAACCGCGCAUCCGGCAAGGGACCCAUUCUCGGCUACUACAUUCAGUGCAAACGCAAAGUCAUGGAACAAUGGCAAGUUUGUAAGUUGAUCCACAUUCAUGCCUACUGCUUGGGAGUGCUUAAAGCAUGACACAAGAUGGACAACAGUAACGAAAACUAGUAACGGGCCGUUAGAAGAGUUCACAGUUUCCUAUCAGAACCUGCUUCCAUCGACAGCCUACAAUUUCCGGCUCAUAGCUUACAAUAAGUUCGGAAUCAGCUGUCCUGCCUACUCAGAAGAUGUGGUUCUAACACCAUCGAAGCUAUACCUGGAGUACGGCUACUUGCAGAUGAAGCCAUUCUACCGACAGACGUGGUUCGUGGUGGCUCUGGCAGCCGGAUCAAUCGUCGUCAUCAUUAUGGUGGUCGCCGUGCUCUGUGUCAAGAGCAAAAGCUACAAAUACAAACAAGAAGCGCAGAAAACGCUGGAAGAAUCGAUGGCAAUGGACAUAGACGACCGGCAGCAGCUGGCGAUGGAGUUGUACCGGUCGCGACACGGGGGUGGGGGCGGUGGAGGCGGAGGCGGCACCCUAGGCAAACGUAGCACGCUGUCCAGGAAGACCCUGCCGCCCCCAGGGCCACCCAUGAUGGGCAAGUCGCCGCCCCGGCCUAGUCCCGCCUCCGUCGCCUACCACAGCGACGAGGAGAGCCUCAAGGGCUAUGAUGAGAAUCCGGAUGACUCCAGUGUCACCGAGAAGCCCAGUGAGAUUAGCUCCUCCGAUUCACAGGUCA